GACGAACGCUGGCGGCGGGCUUAACACAUGCAAGUCGAACGGAAACGCCCUGCUUGCGUGGGGUGCUCGGGUGGCGAACGGGUGAGUAACACGUGAGUAACCUGCUCUAGACUUUGGGAUAACUUCAGGAAACUGGGGUUAAUACCGUAUCGGAGCUCCUGCUGCAUGGUGGGGGGUGGAAAUUUUCGGCGGGUGGGGAUGGACUCGCGGCUGAUGAGCUUGUUGGUGGGGUAGUGGCUUACCAAGCCAUUGACGGGUAGCCGGCCUGAGAGGGUGAACGGCGACAAUGGGACUGAGAUACGGACCAGACUCCUACAGGAGGCAGCAGUCGGGAAUAUUGCACAGUGGGAGGAAGCGUGAUGCAGCAACGCCGCGUGCGGGAUGACGGCCUGCGGGUUGUAAAAAGCUUUCGCCUGUGACGAAGCGUGAGUGACGGUAAUGGAUGAAGAAGCACCGGCUAACUACGUG
RNAcentral lists this ribosomal RNA (468 nucleotides) under uncultured bacterium. RNAcentral describes it as "partial 16S ribosomal RNA". It matches the Rfam family "Bacterial small subunit ribosomal RNA", at positions 28 to 507 of the family's 1533-position model. The record is from RNAcentral.